This 695-nucleotide ribosomal RNA is filed under the name uncultured bacterium. RNAcentral's name for it is "bacterial SSU rRNA". It matches the Rfam family "Bacterial small subunit ribosomal RNA", at positions 140 to 851 of the family's 1533-position model. The record is from RNAcentral.
GGGACAACAGUUGGAAACGACUGCUAAUACCGCAUAAGCCCACGACCCGGCAUCGGGUAGAGGGAAAAGGAGCAAUCCGCUUUGAGAUGGCCUCGCGCCCGAUUAGCUAGUUGGUGAGGUAACGGCCCACCAAGGCGACGAUCGGUAGCCGGACUGAGAGGUUGAACGGCCACAUUGGGACUGAGACACGGCCCAGACUCCUACGGGAGGCAGCAGUGGGGAAUAUUGCACAAUGGGGGAAACCCUGAUGCAGCGACGCCGCGUGGAGGAAGAAGGUCUUCGGAUUGUAAACUCCUGUUGUUGAGGAAGAUAAUGACGGUACUCAACAAGGAAGUGACGGCUAACUACGUGCCAGCAGCCGCGGUAAAACGUAGGUCACAAGCGUUGUCCGGAAUUACUGGGUGUAAAGGGAGCGCAGGCGGGAAGACAAGUUGGAAGUGAAAUCCAUGGGCUCAACCCAUGAGCUGCUUUCAAAACUGUUUUUCUUGAGUAGUGCAGAGGUAGGCGGAAUUCCCGGUGUAGCGGUGGAAUGCGUAGAUAUCGGGAGGAACACCAGUGGCGAAGGCGGCCUACUGGGCACCAACUGACGCUGAGGCUCGAAAGUGUGGGUAGCAAACAGGAUUAGAUACCCUGGUAGUCCACACUGUAAACGCUGAAUAGUAGGUGUUGGAGGAUUGACCCCUUCAGUGCCGCAG